CUAGUCAGUCUUCCAGUCAAGACUUGAAGACAAAGAGUGCCUCUUGGGUUGGUUGGUCAGCCCGCAUUCUUCGCUUCUCUCACUCUCUAUCCUCUGUUAACUUUGCAAGUCCCCGAAACUCCCUUACUGUGUUCAGUUACUAUUACUUCACUUUUCUCUGGCCAAUAUCUUCCUUCUUUUUCUCUAAUAAUUUUUGGAUUUUGUACAAGAACCGGCAACUAUUGCAAUCUACAGAGGAUUCGCUGUUCGAAUUUACUUUGUCUUCCCCUUUUUUUGUAGUUAGGGUUCUAUUUGUUUCUUUAAAUCUUUAUUUUUCAAUCCUCAUCUGUUCUUGGGGAGAUUUUAACACUAGCGUUAUUGAUCUCUGUAGCAAUUGUUGUCUUUUAACUCCCUGCUCCAUUUUUUUAAUCUUUUGAUGCUUUUCUUCAGCCAUGGUGGGUUAUUAAGCAGUUCUGAGAGUUCCAGUUUAUGUUUGUGGCUUGUCUGAAUCUUCUUUUUGAUUUGGUGAUCGGGGUCAUAGGUGAAAUCAACCCUUUGAUGGCGGGGAUACAUGUGUGGUAUCAGUUUCACUAGUCGCAUUUUGUUUGAUUUUUCAUCUUCGGUCAUUGAAGCGAAGAAUGAUCCAUGUCCGAAGAAAUUAGGUUUUCGGCUCCCAGGUUGUUGUUGUGGGUUCUGCAUUGAGGCGAUAUCGUCGUGGUUAUAUGGUGGGAGACGAGGAAGAGGCCGCCGGUUCCCGGGGGCAGUGUCAGAUCUCCGGUGCCGGAGGUGGUGGCCGCAAAGCAUUCUGGAGGUCGGCAUCCUGGUCAUCCGGGACUUUGUUGCAGAGUUCUGCGCCUUUUGAUCAUGUCAAAGACGUUGCAGAUCCUCAUACUAGCAGCGCCGAGAAUAACAACGGUGGAGGACAGUUCCGAAGGUUUCCUGUUCCUCUCACUCCUCGAUCGCAGCAGAAUAGUAAGGCUCGCGCUUGCUUGCCCCCAUUGCAGCCAUUGUCCAUCGCUCGUCGCAGCUUGGACGAGUGGCCCAACGCCGGCUCAGAUGAUGUUGGAGAAUGGCCCCAACCGCCCACCCCCAGCAGUCGACGUGAUCCACACAAGCCCAGAGAAGGUUUGAAACUCGAUUUGUCUUCGUUUCAGAGUAACUCAGAUCCCAUUGGGACUCUUGUUAAGAAAGACAGGAUUGCCUGCUUUGAUAUGGAAUGUUCCAAGGUUGCCGAUCAUAUAUAUCUUGGUGGAGACGCCGUUGCUAAGAACAGGGAUAUUCUCCGGCAGAACGGUAUCACCCAUGUUCUCAACUGUGUGGGUUUCGUUUGCCCUGAAUACUUUAAGUCCGACCUCGUCUACAAGACCUUGUGGUUGCAGGAUAGUCCUUCCGAAGAUAUCACUAGCAUUCUCUAUGAUGUCUUCGACUACUUUGAGGAUGUCAGGGAGCAGGGCGGGAGGGUUCUGGUCCACUGUUGUCAAGGUGUGUCUCGUUCCACAUCUCUGGUGAUUGCUUAUCUCAUGUGGAGGGAGGGCCAGAGCUUCGAUGAUGCCUUUCAUUAUGUGAAGGCGGCCAGGGGGAUUGCUAACCCAAACAUGGGCUUUGCAUGUCAAUUGUUGCAAUGUCAAAAGAGAGUACAUGCCAUUCCACUGAGCCCCAGUUCGGCGCUGAGGAUGUACCGGAUGACCCCGCAUUCUCCUUAUGAUCCUCUCCAUCUGGUUCCUAAGAUGUUGAAUGAUCCUUCUCCAGCUGCCCUGGAUUCUAGAGGAGCGUUUAUUGUACAUGUGCCUUCUGCUAUAUACAUCUGGGUUGGUCGAAGCUGUCAGCCCAUCAUGGAAAAGGAUGCAAAUGGUGCUGCUUUCCAGGUUGUUCGUUACGAGAAAGUGCAGUGCCCUGUGACAACCAUUGACGAAGGAGAAGAACCAUCAGACUUUUGGGAUGCUUUCCGCAAUCCCCCAGAUUCGGUGGACAAGUCUCGUUGUGGUGUGCUGAUUGAAUCGGCAGCUAAAGCUGUGCCUGGUGAGAGGAAAGUGGACCUGUACAAUUUAGAUUUUGAACUCUUCCAGAAAGCAAUCACUGGGGGAGUGGUUCCUGCGUUCUCAACAUCAGGGACGGGACACGAAACUCACCUUCCUGCGAGGGAAAGUAAUUGGAGCGUUCUAAGGCGUAAGUUUACCUCAGCGGGUGCGAAAGAGUUCGGCUCAGCUCCUAAGGCAUCCCUUUAUAGAGUAUAUUCUGAUUCAAUGUUGAUAGUCGACACAGGCAAGCGGGUAAAUAAAUUUCCACAUUUAUCAGCAGACUCCUCAUCCUCAUCGUCAUCUUCAUCUUCAUCGUCACCUCAUUUUUCUCCAAUUUCAUUUUCUUCUGAUUCAAGUACUAGCUCUAAAUCUAGUUCGGAAUCACCAUCACUUUCCCCAUCUACAUCUUCAUCUACACUAUCACCUUCAUCUGCUUCUCCUUCCAUGGUUGAUUUGCCAUCAUUAUCAUCAAAGACAUCACUUCAUUGCAUCCCUAAACUUUCAGAAUCUCCAAAGGAUCAUCAUGCUUCAAAGCCUUGCUCUGAAAUAACUAUAUCAACAUCCAAAAGACUUGCUAUCUGCCUUGCUGAACGCAGGGGUAGCUUGUCACCUUCUCUGAAGCUGCCAGCCUUGGCCGAUGAUAAAUCUCUGUCAUCUACAUGGGACAAAAUCACAUAUUCAACUUCGGCAAGUCAACAUAAUGGAAUUGGGAGAAACAAUAAUGCAAGCUCUUUGAUAGAAGCAUGUUGUAAAGAAGAAGUCUCAGAGUCCUAUGAAAUUACUGUAAUUGAGAAGGAAGUUAAAAAUCAAGAUAGUCAGUUGCAAAUGUUUUUAGGGGCACCUCUUAAUGACCAAGCAAGCACUAAUGGAGGAGGUACUUUUGUAAAGGAGUUUCCUCUGCAAGAGGAUCAGGAUCCGUGUGUCUUUGCUGGAUUGGUGGACAAUGUUUCAGAGUUUUGUAAUCUAAUCUACCCUGUAGUUUGCCGCUGGCCCACGUUAGAAAGGGUUGCACCAUUUGGCACAGCCAAUUUGGAUUCAGAAGCUGCGUUUCUUUUCUUAGUUCCAAGUACAUUUGUAGGCAAGCUUAAAGAUAGGAUGGUAUAUUUUUGGGUAGGAAAAUCAUUCAAACAUGAUAGCCGUCACAGUCAACUAGAUAUCAGCAGCAAUGUAGGUGAUGUAGAAGCAAUUGACUGGAAUCAAGUUGUUUGUGAUUUUCUUUCUACGAUGGGUCUACCAAAGGACAUCCCGGUUGAGGUUGUUAAAGGAGAAUUGGAACCAGAGGAAUUCCUCGAAUUGUUGAAGUCAUUGUAGCAACUGCUAGGACAAAUAGAAAAAGCCUGCACAACUACUGGAUCAGAUUUCCCCCCCCCCCCCCCCCCGACUCUUUACCUCACAGAUUAUGCGUUGCAAUUUUGUUUUUCAUUUUUGUAAGAGCUUUGCCUGACAAGAUUAGCCAGGUUGCCAUGGAGGCAGUCUCUGGCAGCUUACCCGGAUGUACAGUGAUAUGACAACCCCCAUAAAUGCAGAUAAACCAACUAGUAUUCUCUCUUUGGUGGUGGAGAACAUCUCCUUGAAAUGGAAUGUAUAAAUGACAUAUCUCUUAAGGACUUUUUGGCAAGGGUAGAUAUCAUGGGACUUGGAUUUAACAUUUUUUCGUUCCAUGGAUUUGUAUACAUUGUAGACGGCAAUGUUUUUUUUUUUUGGGUAGAAUUGUAGAUGGCCAUGUUACUAGUGCAACAAUUGUAAUGCAGUACCUCCCAAAUUUGUAUGACCUGGUACAUGGGCAUUAUCUUUUUGCACAAAUCUAAUUUGUAAGAUUUCCCAAACAUGUUAGAAAUCCUGAUAUGGUGCAUUCCUGCCUUCUUGGUGUCUUACGGGACAAUAAAAUUGAUUCGAACUUUCAACUUUA
RNA transcript from Macadamia integrifolia, 3906 nucleotides. It is a transcript of the gene named protein-tyrosine-phosphatase MKP1, with no coding region annotated. NCBI's taxonomy places the organism in Eukaryota, Viridiplantae, Streptophyta, Magnoliopsida, Proteales, Proteaceae. The record is from RefSeq and is a predicted model, not a curated record. The transcript is spliced from 3 exons.